This is a small nuclear RNA of Monodelphis domestica (gray short-tailed opossum), 109 nucleotides long. The record is from Ensembl. Lineage: Eukaryota; Metazoa; Chordata; Mammalia; Didelphimorphia; Didelphidae.
GUGCUUUCUUCAGCAGCACAUAUACUAAAAUUGGAAAGACACAGAGAAGAUUUGUAUGACUAAUCGGUGCAAAGAUGGCAUGCAAAUGCAAAAUGUUCAUUAAAAAGGA